AUAUUCUGCCCACGGGGAAGGAUGAGAAGCUUCGACCAAGGUUCGACUAGAGCGAAGCGAGAGAACGUUGCCGCAGGCAAUGGCCCGAAGGGCGAAGCGCUUUAGCGCCGAGUAAUCCUUCCCCCACCACUG
RNAcentral lists this small RNA (132 nucleotides) under Klebsiella pneumoniae. RNAcentral's name for it is "RtT sRNA". It matches the Rfam family "RtT RNA". From Rfam's summary of the family: This family represents a bacterial cis-regulatory element known as RtT RNA. The exact function of RtT is unknown although it is thought that it may be involved in changing the cellular response in relation to amino acid starvation. The record is from RNAcentral. Lineage: Bacteria; Pseudomonadati; Pseudomonadota; Gammaproteobacteria; Enterobacterales; Enterobacteriaceae.